RNAcentral lists this unclassified non-coding RNA (344 nucleotides) under Hevea brasiliensis (rubber tree). The record is from RNAcentral. Lineage: Eukaryota; Viridiplantae; Streptophyta; Magnoliopsida; Malpighiales; Euphorbiaceae.
GCUUUUCGGCUUAUUCCUGCGGGCUCACUUUUGAUUGCAUUUGCUGCGUCCCAAAGGAGGCCUCUGCCCUCUGGAUUCAUUGCUUGGCUCUCCAUCGCUCUCUUCGGCCUUGUUGAUGCUGCUUGUUUCCAGGGUUUUCUUGCUGAGGGAUUACAGAGGACAUCUGCAGGUUUAGGCAGUGUUAUAAUCGACUCACAACCUCUGACAGUGGCUGUACUUGCAGCCUUGUUAUUUGGUGAAUCCAUUGGGUUGGUUGGAGCUGCAGGCCUUGUACUCGGNNNNNACUUUCACUUCUUGAGUUACCUGCUCUUGCUAUUGAUGAGAGUAAUUUUUCUUUGUGGGGA